This 253-nucleotide ribosomal RNA is filed under the name uncultured bacterium. RNAcentral's name for it is "partial 16S ribosomal RNA". It matches the Rfam family "Bacterial small subunit ribosomal RNA", at positions 524 to 776 of the family's 1533-position model. The record is from RNAcentral.
UACGUAGGGGGCAAGCGUUGUCCGGAAUCAUUGGGCGUAAAGAGCGUGUAGGCGGCCAGAUAAGUCCGCUGUGAAAUCUCGAGGCUCAACUUCGAGCUGUCGGUGGAAACUGUCUGGCUAGAGUCCGGAAGAGGAGAAUGGAAUUCCUGGUGUAGCGGUGAAAUGCGCAGAUAUCAGGAGGAACACCAAUGGCGAAGGCAGCUCGCUGGGACGGUACUGACGCUGAGACGCGAAAGCGUGGGGAGCAAACAGG